Molecule: small nuclear RNA, 107 nt
Organism: Nomascus leucogenys (northern white-cheeked gibbon)
Lineage: Eukaryota; Metazoa; Chordata; Mammalia; Primates; Hylobatidae
Source: Ensembl
GUGCUCACUUUGGCAGCACAUACACUAAAACUGGAAUGAUACAGAGAAGAUUAGCAUGGCCCCUGUGCAAGGAUGACAUGCAAAUUAAAAAAAUUUUUUUUGUUUAA